Molecule: long non-coding RNA, 1101 nt
Organism: Pyrus x bretschneideri (Chinese white pear)
Lineage: Eukaryota; Viridiplantae; Streptophyta; Magnoliopsida; Rosales; Rosaceae
Exons: 3
Source: RefSeq, a predicted model, not a curated record
CUGUCGGGGGAACAAAGUCUGCCAAAAGAAAGAGUAGCUUAAAUUAGAAUAAAUGUAAAUGUAAUUGAUAUGAGAGUGGAUUAUUCAACCAACUAUCUAAUGCACACAGAAACAGAAGAUUGAACCCAAUCUUUGAGGCAUCCUUAAAUAAGCAGAUAGUAUAUGAAGUAAUCCCUCGAACAAACUUUCUUUGGAUGGUUGUAAAUUUUUAAUGUUUCCUCAAGUGAAAUGGUUAGUUUCCAUGUAAAUAUUAAAAAUCCUUGAAGUUGAAUUUUGUUGUAUUUAAAAGCGUCAACAUGUUACCAAUAAAAAAAAAACAACAUAUUAUGCGAUAAGAAAAUUUAAGAGAGUAUUUCCUCAAGUCUUGUCUCAAACUACGUGGAGUAAAACACGAAAAACACAUAAGCAUUAUCUAUUCUAAAGUUGGAGCGGGAUUGGCAUGUUCAUGGCUACAGUCAAGAAAAUGCCCCCUUGGUUUCACCUUAUUUGCAAGAAAGCCAUCUGAUUUGGGGCUGGGUUGGAGGGUAAUUAGGAAAAGAUAGGAGGGUAAUUUUGUCUCUCUAAAAAAACCUAUGAAAAGAUAGAGAGAGCUGUCAGCUUGCAGAGAGGGAUGGAGGGAGAGAGAAAGAGAGAGCCUGAAGAAUACCACCACUUCUCCUGAACGAGGGUUAGCUGUGCAAUUCCAGUUCUCUCUCUAAAAAAAACCUAGGAUUCUGGUUUUUUAUUUUUAUGUAUAUUUUUGUGUAAAAAAACCAAGUAUUAUAGUAAGGUUUUCAAUUUACAAAUGGUUUUUCUGUUCAGAUUUUCUUUUUGUGAGUUUUGUGUAUUAUGUAGAACCAGCAAUGCAAGAGCAGGAUGUGAUCAGUCACACCCGAAAAGAGGAUGUGCCUGCUUGCUGCUGCUGGCACUGAGGAUAUAGGUGAACGGUGAAGCGGUUUGUAUGGGCUCAUGUAUCUUAAACAUGUAGUGAGAAGUGAGGAUUUUGUUUUAGUGUUUUAGAUAAUCUGAAGGAAUAUGUAGAUACUAUGAUUUGGGGUUGCUUUCUUAAACCAUGAUAAAGCAGUCCAAGUAAUUUUAACAUAGAUAUCAUUUUUUAUGUAA